AGCUCAGUGAUUGCAGCCACUUUCAUUGGCAAUAUACGCUAUGCUGACUGUUUGAUGACAAAUAAGAAUAUGAGAGCU
Oryza glumipatula is the source of this 78-nucleotide non-coding RNA. The record is from Rfam. Lineage: Eukaryota; Viridiplantae; Streptophyta; Magnoliopsida; Poales; Poaceae.